Molecule: ribosomal RNA, 497 nt
Filed under: uncultured bacterium
Lineage: Bacteria
Description: partial 16S ribosomal RNA
Rfam family: Bacterial small subunit ribosomal RNA
Source: RNAcentral
GACGAACGCUGGCGGCGUGCCUAAUACAUGCAAGUAGAACGCUGAAGAGAGGAGCUUGCUCUUCUUGGAUGAGUUGCGAACGGGUGAGUAACGCGUAGGUAACCUGCCUUGUAGCGGGGGAUAACUAUUGGAAACGAUAGCUAAUACCGCAUAACAAUGGAUUACACAUGUCAUUUAUUUGAAAGGGGCAAUUGCUCCACUACAAGAUGGACCUGCGUUGUAUUAGCUAGUAGGUGAGGUAACGGCUCACCUAGGCGACGAUACAUAGCCGACCUGAGAGGGUGAUCGGCCACACUGGGAGGGAGACACGGCCCAGACUCAUACGGGAGGCAGCAGUAGGGAAACGUCGGCAAUGGGGGCAAACCUGACCGAGCAACGCCGCGUGAGUGAAGAAGGUUGUCGGAUCGUAAAGCUCGGUUGUAAGUCAAGAACGAGUGUGAGAGUGGAAAGUUCACACUGUGACGGUAGCUUACCAGAAAGGGACGGCUAACUACGUG